AUUGAACGCUGGCGGCAUGCUUUACACAUGCAAGUCGAGCGGCAGCGCGGGGGCAACCCUGGCGGCGAGCGGCGAACGGGUGAGUAAUGCAUCGGAACGUACCCUGGAGUGGGGGAUAACGCCGCGAAAGCGGCGCUAAUACCGCAUAUGCUCUGAGGAGGAAAGUGGGGGACCGCAAGGCCUCACGCUCUGGGAGCGGCCGAUGUCCGAUUAGCUAGUUGGUGUGGUAAAGGCUUACCAAGGCGACGAUCGGUAGCUGGUCUGAGAGGAUGAUCAGCCACACUGGGACUGAGACACGGCCCAGACUCCUACGGGAGGCAGCAGUGGGGAAUUUUGGACAAUGGGGGCAACCCUGAUCCAGCCAUGCCGCGUGAGUGAAGAAGGCC
RNAcentral lists this ribosomal RNA (386 nucleotides) under uncultured bacterium. RNAcentral describes it as "bacterial SSU rRNA". It matches the Rfam family "Bacterial small subunit ribosomal RNA", at positions 28 to 416 of the family's 1533-position model. The record is from RNAcentral.